UACGAAGGGGGCUAGCGUUGUUCGGAAUUACUGGGCGUAAAGCGCACGUAGGCGGAUCGAUCAGUCAGGGGUGAAAUCCCAGAGCUCAACUCUGGAACUGCCUUUGAUACUGUCGAUCUAGAGUAUGGAAGAGGUGAGUGGAAUUCCGAGUGUAGAGGUGAAAUUCGUAGAUAUUCGGAGGAACACCAGUGGCGAAGGCGGCUCACUGGUCCAUUACUGACGCUGAGGUGCGAAAGCGUGGGGAGCGAACAGG
Molecule: ribosomal RNA, 253 nt
Filed under: uncultured bacterium
Lineage: Bacteria
Description: partial 16S ribosomal RNA
Rfam family: Bacterial small subunit ribosomal RNA
Source: RNAcentral